RNAcentral lists this ribosomal RNA (394 nucleotides) under uncultured bacterium. Its description in RNAcentral is "bacterial SSU rRNA". It matches the Rfam family "Bacterial small subunit ribosomal RNA", at positions 362 to 770 of the family's 1533-position model. The record is from RNAcentral.
UAUUGCACAAUGGUGGAAACCCUGAUGCAGCGACGCCGCGUGAGCGAAGAAGUAUUUCGGUAUGUAAAGCUCUAUCAGCAGGGAAGAAAAAAAUGACGGUAACUGAGUAAGAAGCACCGGAUAAAUACGUACCAGCAGCCGCGGUAAUACGUAUGGUGCAAGCGUUAUCUGGAUUUACUGGGUGUAAAGGGAGCGUAGGCGGCGCGUUAAGUCUGAUGUGAAAACCCGAGGCUCAACCACGGGAGUGCAUUGGAAACUGGCGGGCUGGAGUGCCGGAGAGGUAAGCGGAAUUCCUAGUGUAGCGGUGAAAUGCGUAGAUAUUAGGAGGAACACCAGUGGCGAAGGCGGCUUACUGGACGGCAACUGACGCUGAGGCCCGAAAGCGUGGGGAGCA